RNAcentral lists this ribozyme (74 nucleotides) under unclassified sequences. RNAcentral's name for it is "HDV ribozyme from F. prausnitzii". It matches the Rfam family "HDV ribozyme from F. prausnitzii". The record is from RNAcentral.
GCUGCUCGUAAUAAUCACACACCUCCUCGUGGUGAGCAGCAGGCAACGCUGAUAUAAGCGGCUAAGAUGUGAUG